CCCGCUGAACUUAAGCAUAUCAAUAAGCGGAGGAAAAGAAACUAACAAGGAUUCCCUUAGUAACUGCGAGUGAAGUGGGAAAAGCUCAAAUUUAGAAUCUGGCAGUCACUUGGCUGUCCGAGUUGUAAUCUAGAGAAGUGUUGCCCAUGCUGGACCAUGUACAAGUCUCCUGGAAUGGAGCAUCACAGAGGGUGAGAAUCCUGUCUUUGACAUGGACUGCCAGUGCUUUUGUGGUACGCUCUCAAAGAGUCGAGUUGUUUGGGAAUGCAGCUCAAAAUGGGUGGUAAAUGCCAUCUAAAGCUAAAUAUUGGCGAGAGACCGAUAGCGAACAAGUACCGUGAGGGAAAGAUGAAAAGAACUUUGGAAAGAGAGUUAAACAGUACGUGAAAUUGCUGAAAGGGAAACGCUUGAAGUCAGUCACGUUGACUUGGAAUCAGCUCUGCUUUUGCUGGGUGUACUUUCUUGUCAAUGGGUCAGCAUCAAUUUUGACCAUUGGAUAAAGUUGCUGGGAAUGUAGCAUCCUUUUGGAUGUGUUAUAGCCUGGUGAUGCAUACAGUGGUUGGGAUUGAGCAAUUCAGCACGCCACCAGGCCGGGUUUUGACCACGUUCGUGCUUAGGAUGCUGGCAUAAUGGCUUUAAUUGACCCGUCUUGAAACACGG
This 660-nucleotide ribosomal RNA is filed under the name uncultured fungus. RNAcentral describes it as "eukaryotic LSU rRNA". It matches the Rfam family "Eukaryotic large subunit ribosomal RNA", at positions 24 to 664 of the family's 3401-position model. The record is from RNAcentral. Lineage: Eukaryota; Fungi.